This 91-nucleotide transfer RNA is filed under the name Hypoxylon rubiginosum. RNAcentral's name for it is "tRNA-Glu". It matches the Rfam family "tRNA". Rfam says of the family: Transfer RNA (tRNA) molecules are approximately 80 nucleotides in length. Lineage: Eukaryota; Fungi; Ascomycota; Sordariomycetes; Xylariales; Hypoxylaceae. The record is from RNAcentral.
UCCGAAUUGGUGUAGUGGCUAACAUUUGACGUUCUCAAAGUCGAAGAACUUCAGGAUCGUCAAGCCCGGGGUUCGAUUCCCCGAUUCGGAA